Molecule: long non-coding RNA, 2221 nt
Organism: Passer domesticus (house sparrow)
Lineage: Eukaryota; Metazoa; Chordata; Aves; Passeriformes; Passeridae
Exons: 3
Source: RefSeq, a predicted model, not a curated record
GCAGGAGGGAAGGCGCUGGCAUGGAGGGGAGAAGGCUGCAGGGAGGAGAGGGGAAGGGAGAAGGCCAUUCCAGGGCUGCUGGGCAGCAGACGGAGCCGGGACCCCCUCCAGCAGCUGGCACGAAGCCACCAGGGAAGAAGAAGCCACCAGGCAGGAGAGCCACCAGUGCCACCAGGGCCAGCACCGCCAGCACGAGGGCAGCAAAACAUCACCACAAAAGCAGAAAGCAGCAGGCCCACUCCCCUCCAGCGCUUCAAAUCCCAGCUCCUGGGAGGAACCCUGACUCAGCCCAAAACUCUGCAGAGGGGAAUGAGGAAGAUGCAAACACAAACAAGGCUGUAGCAUCAGCUGGCAGCAUUUUGGGUUCUGCCGGGGCAGGGGAAGGUCUCUGUGCUCAGCUGAGCCAAAGCCUCCGCUGGGAUGGGAUUCUGGAGGAUCCCCAGGCAGAGAGGGAGAGGCUGCGUGUUUACAGGGUGAACAGGAGGGAAAGGUAUGAAUUGUACAUCCAGGAGCACUUCCCAGCUGCCAGGAAUUCCCCACCCCUCCACGGCAGCAGCAGGUAAAGGAGAUUCCUGCAGUAAUUAUUUGGAAGAGCAAAAGUUGCUGUGCCUGAAUGCUGAUUGAGGAAUUGCUGUGAACUGAACUCCGAGCUGCACCAGGGGUGUCACCCAAAAUCCCAACAAUUUCUGUGUCCUAGCAGGGGUUCCUCACUGUCUGUGUGGAGGAAAGGACAUUUUUAUCUUAAAAAACCAAACCAACCUGUUAAAAUAUGGCUGCAACUCAGACUGCAUCAACAAUUAGAAGUGCUCCUUUCCACACUGUGUUUGUGCCAAUUAUUGCUGUUGGUUUAUUUCCAAAUAACAGUGCGAAACUUUCCAGGUAUUCACGUUGUACAAUGCAGAUUUGUGAGCAGAUGAAGGACCAGACACUUUGUUUAGAGUCUGAAAUGACUUCCAGGCAUACAAACUUACCUUCCUUGAAACUGAGUGAGCUGCAAAGUCAGGACGUGAAUCCAGCCCUCACCUCCUGGCUUUUGAUCCAAUUGUUAGGUUGAGUGUUUUAUUUUGUAACAGAAAUUAACAAAAUUUUAACACAAAUUAACAAAAAUUCAUUAUCUCAGACUCUCAGAUGUGACAUUCUGGAGAAGCACACAUGAAAGGGAAAGAGCACAUCCAGAACAACAGGGUUUCCUUGGAAUGGUAGGUGCUAAUUAGAAGCUCAUUGGGCCAAUAUGAAUUAAAAAUCACAUGGAACAACCUUGUACUCCCCUACUUCAAAUUUUGAUAGUAAAAUAAUGUUUUUCAUACAGAGUGUCAUGACAAUACUUAAGGAGAACAGCCCAGCCUCACUGCAGGAAGCAUUUGAAAGUUAGGUGACAUCUGAAAGUGUCCCCGAACUCCCCUGAAAGCUACUGUGCUGACUUCUAAAGUUUUUUCUUAAUAGCUUUUUAAAUCGACCCUUUUAUACAGAAUUGAUGUUUAUAAGUAGCUUUUCUCCUGUUUAAUACUUCAAAACUCCAGGAUACCCAAAAGCUCUCAGAGCCUUUUGCUGGAAGCAGCAGCUUUGGAGCAGCUCCACGGCUCCCCAGACCCCAAUAAUGUCAUUACAUGCAACUCUAGAGCUUCCACAAGCACAUAACCAGAUGAACAAUAAAAAGUAAGCAAAAAAUCCCAUUAGGAAUUAAUUAACUGAUGUUCAAUUACAUCCAUUCCUGCUCUGCCAGAGUCACUAACAAAAUCAGCACGCCUGCAAAAUGUGGAAAGGUUAAAAGAACAGAUUGAGCAUCCAGAAAACCACCAGAGCAUUUCUCUUGACACAAUAGUUUAUAAUCAUCUCUUUUGGUUUUAUAAAGUUUAAUGCAUAACACACUCUAGUCUUAUAUUUAUGCUAUGUUUACUAAUGCAGCCUUUGAGCAUCUACAUUUUGAAAAUAAAUUCCUGCCUGGUUAAAUACAUGUUGUAUUUGAAAGGGAUUAGUUCUUCACUUGUAGGAUAUGCUGAAAUUCAUACCAGAAACUCUCUUUAAAAAUAAAGCUGUACCAGAUGAACAACUCAAACACAUUAAGGAGAGGAUUUUCAGCUGUCUUUAAAGAACUUUUUCAAUGUCUUAUUAAACUGACAAAUCCACAACAUUUGGUGCUGGUUUGGUUUUUAAUAUAGACAGUUCUAUAUAGGAAACACCCUCCUAGAAUAUGUAAACAAGAAUAGAAGAGAAAGGAGGG